AGAGUAUGAUCCUGGCUCAGAUUGAACGCUGGCGGCAGGCCUAACACAUGCAAGUCGAACGGUAACAUUUCUAGCUUGCUAGAAGAUGACGAGUGGCGGACGGGUGAGUAAUGCUUGGGAACUUGCCUUUGCGAGGGGGAUAACAGUUGGAAACGACUGCUAAUACCGCAUAAUGUUUUCGAACCAAACGGGGCUUUGGCUCCGGCGCAAAGAGAGGCCCAAGUGAGAUUAGCUAGUUGGUAGGGUAACGGCUUACCAAGGCGACGAUCUCUAGCUGUUCUGAGAGGAAGAUCAGCCACACUGGGACUGAGACACGGCCCAGACUCCUACGGGAGGCAGCAGUGGGGAAUAUUGCACAAUGGGGGAAACCCUGAUGCAGCCAUGCCGCGUGUGUGAAGAAGGCCUUCGGGUUGUAAAGCACUUUCAGUUGUGAGGAAAAGUUAGUAGUUAAUACCUGCUAGCCGUGACGUUAACAACAGAAGAAGCACCGGCUAACUCCGUGCCAGCAGCCGCGGUAAUACGGAGGGUGCGAGCGUUAAUCGGAAUUACUGGGCGUAAAGCGCACGCAGGCGGUUUGUUAAGCUAGAUGUGAAAGCCCCG
RNAcentral lists this ribosomal RNA (600 nucleotides) under uncultured marine bacterium. RNAcentral describes it as "bacterial SSU rRNA". It matches the Rfam family "Bacterial small subunit ribosomal RNA", at positions 8 to 605 of the family's 1533-position model. The record is from RNAcentral.